UGCAUUUCUGUUGCCGCCCUUGCACAAUGCUGAAGCUGAUAUUUUGCUUCUUGUUUCUUCUUUUUGCAUUCAAUUUGUAAUUUUGAUACAAAUUUAGGACUCUUGGUUGUAGGACAGUGAAACAUAGGUUAAAAUAACUGCCAAAGAUUUUAUUCUCACUGUUGCCAACUAACAUUUGUUCUUCUGUAGGUGCAAGUUCCGUUUCUGGAUUUUUUGCAGCAGCUUGCAGUUUACCAUUUGACUAUGUCAAGACCCAGAUUCAGAAGAUGCAACCUGAUGCUGAUGGAAAAUAUCCAUACACCGGCUCUCUUGAUUGUGCUGCAAAAACCCUCAAAGCUGGAGGACCCUUCAAAUUUUACACUGGAUUCCCUGUCUAUUGUAUUAGGAUUGCUCCUC
Molecule: long non-coding RNA, 396 nt
Filed under: Phaseolus vulgaris (common bean)
Lineage: Eukaryota; Viridiplantae; Streptophyta; Magnoliopsida; Fabales; Fabaceae
Description: long non-coding RNA (PVUL_LNC004658)
Source: RNAcentral